Molecule: ribosomal RNA, 339 nt
Filed under: uncultured Bacillus sp.
Lineage: Bacteria; Bacillati; Bacillota; Bacilli; Caryophanales; Bacillaceae
Description: bacterial SSU rRNA
Rfam family: Bacterial small subunit ribosomal RNA
Source: RNAcentral
GCAAGCGUUAUCCGGAAUUAUUGGGCGUAAAGCGCGCGCAGGUGGUUUCUUAAGUCUGAUGUGAAAGCCCACGGCUCAACCGUGGAGGGUCAUUGGAAACUGGGAGACUUGAGUGCAGAAGAGGAAAGUGGAAUUCCAUGUGUAGCGGUGAAAUGCGUAGAGAUAUGGAGGAACACCAGUGGCGAAGGCGACUUUCUGGUCUGUAACUGACACUGAGGCGCGAAAGCGUGGGGAGCAAACGGAUUAGAUACCCUGGUAGUCCACGCCGUAAACGAUGAGUGCUAAGUGUUAGAGGGUUUCCGCCCUUUAGUGCUGAAGUUAACGCAUUAAGCACUCCGC